RNAcentral lists this ribosomal RNA (425 nucleotides) under uncultured bacterium. RNAcentral describes it as "bacterial SSU rRNA". It matches the Rfam family "Bacterial small subunit ribosomal RNA", at positions 356 to 773 of the family's 1533-position model. The record is from RNAcentral.
UAAGAAUAUUCCGCAAUGGACGAAAGUCUGACGGAGCGACGCCGCGUGGAUGAUGAAGGCCGGAAGGUUGUAAAAUCCUUUUGUCGGGGAAGAAUAAGCAUGGGAGGGAAUGCCCGUGUGAUGACAUGAACCGGCGAAUAAGCCCCGGCUAACUACGUGCCAGCAGCCGCGGUAACACGUAGGGGGCGAGCGUUGUUCGGAAUUACUGGGCGUAAAGGGCAUGUAGGCGGUUCUGUAAGCCUGACGUGAAAGGCUAUGGCUCAACCAUGGCACUGCGUUGGGAACUGCGGGACUUGAAUCAUGGAGAGGGAGCUGGAAUUCCAGGUGUAGGGGUGAAAUCUGUAGAUAUCUGGAAGAACACCAGUGGCGAAGGCGAGCUCCUGGCCAAUGAUUGACGCUGAGGUGCGAAAGUGUGGGGAUCAAAC